UACGUAGGGGCAAGCGUUGUCCGGAUUACUGGGCGUAAAGCGCGCGUAGGCGGAACGUUAAGUCCGGUCUGAAAGCCCCGGCUCAACCGGGAGGGUGGCUGGAAACUGGCGUUCUUGAGGGCGAGAGAGGAGGGUGGAAUUCCUGGUGUAGCGGUGAAAUGCGUAGAGAUCAGGAGGAACACCCGUGGCGAAGGCGGCCCUCUGGCUCGACCCUGACGCUGAGGCGCGAAAGCGUGGGAGCGAACGGG
This 248-nucleotide ribosomal RNA is filed under the name uncultured bacterium. RNAcentral's name for it is "partial 16S ribosomal RNA". It matches the Rfam family "Bacterial small subunit ribosomal RNA", at positions 524 to 776 of the family's 1533-position model. The record is from RNAcentral.